Molecule: ribosomal RNA, 510 nt
Filed under: uncultured bacterium
Lineage: Bacteria
Description: partial 16S ribosomal RNA
Rfam family: Bacterial small subunit ribosomal RNA
Source: RNAcentral
UGGGGAAUUUUGGACAAUGGGGGAAACCCUGAUCCAGCCAUCCCGCGUGUGCGAUGAAGGCCUUCGGGUUGUAAAGCACUUUUGGCAGGAAAGAAACGUCGCGGGUUAAUACCCCGCGGAACUGACGGUACCUGCAGAAUAAGCACCGGCUAACUACGUGCCAGCAGCCGCGGUAAUACGUAGGGUGCAAGCGUUAAUCGGAAUUACUGGGCGUAAAGCGUGCGCAGGCGGUUCGGAAAGAAAGAUGUGAAAUCCCAGAGCUUAACUUUGGAACUGCAUUUUUAACUACCGGGCUAGAGUGUGUCAGAGGGAGGUGGAAUUCCGCGUGUAGCAGUGAAAUGCGUAGAUAUGCGGAGGAACACCGAUGGCGAAGGCAGCCUCCUGGGAUAACACUGACGCUCAUGCACGAAAGCGUGGGGAGCAAACAGGAUUAGAUACCCUGGUAGUCCACGCCCUAAACGAUGUCAACUAGCUGUUGGGGUCUUCGGACCUUGGUAGCGCAGCUAACGC